UACAGAGGGUGCAAGCGUUGUUCGGAAUUAUUGGGCGUAAAGAGCGUGUAGGCGGCCAGGUAGGUCUGCUGUGAAAACUCGAGGCUUAACCUCGAGAUGUCGGCGGAAACCAUCUGGCUAGAGUCCGGAAGAGGAGAAUGGAAUUCCCGGUGUAGCGGUGAAAUGCGCAGAUAUCGGGAAGAACACCCGUGGCGAAGGCGGUUCUCUGGGACGGUACUGACGCUGAGACGCGAAAGCGUGGGGAGCGAACAGG
This 253-nucleotide ribosomal RNA is filed under the name uncultured bacterium. RNAcentral describes it as "partial 16S ribosomal RNA". It matches the Rfam family "Bacterial small subunit ribosomal RNA", at positions 524 to 776 of the family's 1533-position model. The record is from RNAcentral.